GCCUAGUUAGCUUAGUUGGUAGUGCGUCUGCCUUGUAAGCCCUAGGCCGCGGGUUCGAUUCCCGCCCGGAGCG
Molecule: transfer RNA, 73 nt
Filed under: Diaphorina citri (Asian citrus psyllid)
Lineage: Eukaryota; Metazoa; Arthropoda; Insecta; Hemiptera; Psyllidae
Rfam family: tRNA
About the family: Transfer RNA (tRNA) molecules are approximately 80 nucleotides in length. Their secondary structure includes four short double-helical elements and three loops (D, anti-codon, and T loops).
Source: Rfam by way of RNAcentral